GAUGAACGCUGGCGGCGUGCCUAAUACAUGCAAGUCGAGCGAAAGGACGAGAAGCUUGCUUCUCUGUUGUUAGCGGCGGACGGGUGAGUAACACGUGGAUAACCUACAUAUCAGACUGGGAUAACUUCGGGAAACCGUAGCUAAUACCGGAUAAUAUUUUGCACCGCAUGGUUCAAUAGUGAGAGACGGUCUUGCUGUCACUUAUAGAUGGAUCCGCGCUGCAUUAGCUGGUUGGUAAGGUCACGGCUUACAAAGGCAACGAUGCAUAGCCGACCUGGGAGGGUGAUCGGCCUCUUUGGAACUGAGACACCGUCCAUGCUCCUACGUUAGGCAGCAGUAUCUAAUCUUCCGCAGUGGUCGAGAGCCUUACCUAGCAACGCCGCGUGAGAUAUUGAGGUCUUCGGUUCGUAAAACUCUGUUAUUAGUUGAGAACAUAUUUGUUCGUUACUGUGCUCAUCUUGACGGUACCGAAUCAGGAAGCCACGGCUAACUACGUG
This 497-nucleotide ribosomal RNA is filed under the name uncultured bacterium. RNAcentral's name for it is "partial 16S ribosomal RNA". It matches the Rfam family "Bacterial small subunit ribosomal RNA", at positions 28 to 507 of the family's 1533-position model. The record is from RNAcentral.